GCUCAUUGGCUUGGCGAAAGAAGCCGUUUUUCAGAAGUUUGGCGUGGAACUCAGAGAAGAAAUCUUGUAUAUUCAUCCACACUACAGGUGCUACAACCAUGAAGGUGUAAAAGGGAAGAACAGCUGCUGUUCCUAAUGUGAAAGCCCCAUUAGCUAUCUGUGAACAUGGCAUCCCUGCACAAACUAUCAUCCCUCAUUUACACAUUCUAGUAUGUGUGUUUCUGUGUGUGUGUGUGUGUGAGAGAGAGAGAGAGAGAGAGAGAGAGAGAGAGUAUAUGAAGCAUAUACUGGAGAGAUUUUUCUGAAGAGAGUAUCUUUAACAAGAUUUGGUCUAGUGAUGAAGAUGGUUCUUGAUUUUC
Non-coding RNA from Erythranthe guttata (spotted monkey flower), 359 nucleotides. The record is from RefSeq and is a predicted model, not a curated record. Lineage: Eukaryota; Viridiplantae; Streptophyta; Magnoliopsida; Lamiales; Phrymaceae.